RNAcentral lists this ribosomal RNA (1107 nucleotides) under uncultured organism. RNAcentral's name for it is "bacterial SSU rRNA". It matches the Rfam family "Bacterial small subunit ribosomal RNA", at positions 61 to 1137 of the family's 1533-position model. The record is from RNAcentral.
GUCGUGCGAGAAAGUACCCUUCGGGGUGCGAGUAGAGCGGCAAACGGGUGAGUAACACGUAAGUAACCUACCUCUAAAUCUGGAAUAACUCUGCCAACGCGGAGCUAAUACCGGAUGUGGUCACGAUGCUGCAUGGUAUUGUGACUAAAGGUGACCUCUCCUUGGAAGUUACCGUUUAGAGAUGGGCAUGCAGACCAUUAGCUAGUUGGUGAGGUAACGGCUCACCAAGGCUACGAUGGAUAGCCGGCCUAAGAGGGUGAUCGGCCACAUUGGGACUGAGAUACGGCCCAGACUCCUACGGGAGGCAGCAGUAGGGAAUUUUGCGCAAUGGACGAAAGUCUGACGCAGCAACGCCGCGUGAGGGAUGACGGCCUUCGGGUUGUAAACCUCUGUUGAGUGGGAAGAAAAGCUUUGUGGUUAAUAUCCACAGAGUCUGACGGUACCACUCGAGGAAGCUCCGGCUAACUACGUGCCAGCAGCCGCGGUAAUACGUAGGGGGCUAGCGUUGUUCGGAAUCACUGGGCGUAAAGGGAGUGUAGGCGGACCGGUAAGUUAGGAGUUAAAUGUACGGGCUCAACCCGUGAUCUGCUUUUAAUACUGUCGGUCUUGAGCAUGGGAGAGGGAGAUGGAAUUCCAGGUGUAGCGGUGGAAUGCGUAGAUAUCUGGAAGAACACCAGUUGCGAAGGCGGUCUCCUGGACCAAUACUGACGCUGAUGCUCGAAAGCUGGGGGAGCGAACAGGAUUAGAUACCCUGGUAGUCCCAGCCGUAAACGAUGGACACUAGUUGCCGGAGGAGUCAAUCCCUUCGGUGACGAAGCUAACGCAUUAAGUGUCCCGCCUGGGGAGUACGCUCGCAAGGGUGAAACUCAAAGGAAUUGACGGGGGCCCGCACAAGCGGUGGAGCAUGUGCUUUAAUUCGAUGCAACGCGAAGAACCUUACCUGGGUUUGACAUGGGGGUGAAAGUUUCCAGAGAUGGAAGCCUUUCCUUCGGGAACACCCCACACAGGUGCUGCAUGGUUGUCGUCAGCUCGUGUCGUGAGAUGUUGGGUUAAGUCCCGCAACGAGCGCAACCCCUGCCCUUAGUUGCCAUCAGGUAAAGCUGGGAA